CAAAUUCCAAGUAACUAAAGAAGUUGGAAACUGUUUGCUUCCCUAAUCAGUAGUAUAUAUUAUUCUUCUCAUCUUCAGAUGAAAAUUCUGACAGAUUGGCGAAAACGACAUGUGCUUGGCUAAUCAACUAUUCUUAGACUCCUGAGUAAGUUACUCUAACCUCAAAUUAGUACUUAUCGUUUAGUGUUAAUUUAAUAUUAUUGGUGUACUGCCAUACAAAAAUAUAAAAUCGUUGAACCAUUUACGAAAUAAAAGGUUAAACAACCCACAUUUUUGUGUGUGUUUGAUCUGUCAGAUAACUUUAACAGAAAUAGGUGAUGUUGGCUUUUUAAACUUUUCUUUCCUCGACAAAGAAUGUUAUAUUUGUUCGUUGAGAAACUAAAACUGCAAAUGUAAACGGAAGUGUAUUUGCUUAGAAUAAAAUUACAGUAUUUUUUAAGAACUGAAAAACUUGUUACUUUCAGUUUUGGAUAAGAACUAAAGAGUUUUCUUUUUCUAUUUCUAAAGAAUUGAACUUGAGAAUUAAACCCAGAGGGAUAAUAAUGGUGGAUUACUAUUUUAGUAGAGAUAUGUUAGUGGGAGUGCAUUUGUUUGUGAUACAUGCUUAUUCCUUAUCUUUGAUAUGAAAUUGUUUGUUUUGUGGUCACUUUUUUACGUUUUACAAGUUAACCGGAUAACCCUCGACCAUAAUAUAUUUGGUAGUUUAUCUAUAUCUUACUGAAAAUAUUUUUCAAGUUACAACAUUAUGUAAUUAUUCUCUAACUGAAAUUCAUUUUCAUAAGUUUGGUGAUAGUAAUUCCAAAAUUUUAUGUAAAUUGAACAUUAAUAUUAAUAUAACUUUUGGUGUAUGAUCUAUUAUGAAAUUUUUAUUUCCAAUGAGCCUAAGUCCCCGACCCUAAAUAUUCUCGUGCAUUAGGUUUUAUAACUUUACUAGCAUUAUUUUGCAUUGCUUCAAUGCGGCCAGAUAACUUUUUUUUUUUUUACUCUGAUUAAAUGUCUGUCGCGAAUAUAGUUAUUUUUUCUAGAUCAAUCUCAUUCUCUAAACCUAAGUGUCAUUGGUGAUUCGAUAAUAAAGUGUACUAUCGCAUUAUACUCUACAUGCUUAACAUGAUAAUUUAAAGUUGUUUAGACCAUUAAUCAUAAGCUUCUUCGAUAGUAAAGUGUACCAUCGCGCUCACUGGGGGUGUGCAGACUCCUGGAGGGGCCCUUUAUGGCCCAAGCGCAAUAUCAAGCCAUCUCGUGACAUCAUCACUAGGCUCUCGGUCUUAUAUAAACAAGUCACCUCGUGGCGUAUAAAUCUCAGGCCCUCGGCCUCAUAAUCAUAAUCAGAUGUUUUCUCACAACAUAGGCCUUCAACCUUACUCAGUCAGAAUUCUCACAAGUCACUCGGGCAACAAUAAAACAUGAUGCUCAACUCAAAAUAUCAUUUAAAACAUCAUUUUAAGUGUUAAAGCAGAGUAAACAUGGUUGAGUUAUGAAAACAGUAGAAUACAGCAUGACUAAGUACAAGUAUAAAGUCAAAACAGUGAGAAAAUAUCAGUAAAAAUUCCCUAAGUGUCCAAAUAGUUGGCACGAGACCCAAAUAUGGCAUUCAGCCCAAAACAUGAUGAUAGCAAAUAGUUUUAAAUCAAAUACGCUAUAAAACAGUCAUUCGGGAUGGGCUAAGUCACGAUCCCCAACUGUGCACGACCCCACGCUCGUUAUCUAGCGUGUGUGUCACCUCAAUAUAGCACCACGAUGUGCAAUCCGAGGUUUCAUACUCUCAGGACAAUAUUUAUAAUUAUUACUCACCUCAAACCGGUCCAAACUCAAGCCCGCAACGCCUUUGCCCCUCGAAUCGGCCUCCACUCGCGUCAAAUCUAUCCAAAAUCACAAUCACAACGUCAAAAUAUGCUAAGGGAAUGAAGCCUAUGCGAAAAUAAUCAAUUUACAACAUAAAUCCCGAAAUUACCAAAACUCAACCCCCAGGCCCACGCUCGGAAUUCGAUAAAAUUCACGUCAGUAGAUUCCUUAUCUCCCCACGAGUUGAUACAUAUCAAGAGUCCCAAAAUCCGACCACAAAUGGUCCUUCAAAUCCUCAAGUCUAGGUCUCCAAUACCAAGCCCUAGUUUCCCCAAAUUUUUAACCCUUAAAUUCCAUUAAUUACAGCUCUAAUCCGUGAAAUAAUACCAUAGGAACGAGUUUUAGGUCCAAAAUCCUUACCUCAAUAAAAUACCCUUGAAAUCCUUCUUCAAAUCGCCCUAAAAGCUCCAAAAGCCGACUUAGAAAUGGUGGAAUAGCUCAAAAAUCACGAAGGAAAUAAUUUAUACCUUCUGGCCCAGGCAUUUUGCAUCCGCGGCCCCUUCUACCGAUUCUGCGGUACCGCUUUUGCGGUCAAUAGACCGCUUCUGCGGUCAUCACUUAAAUCCUCCACUUUCGCAUCUGCUAUGCCCAAUUCGCACCUGCGCCAUCGCAUGUGCGGUUCUUCAACCGCUUCUACGGUUUCUGCCUUCCAAGGCCCUUUCCGCUUCUGCGAUUGAAAUCUCGCUUCUGUCAGACCGCACCUAUGGUCCCCAAGCCGCAAGUGCGGUUAUGACAGCAAUGGAAAACUUCAGCUAUCCCAGCCAACUCCAAAUCUUUCUGCCGACCAUCCGAAAUCACCUCGAGGCCCCCGGGACCUCAACCAAAAGCACAAACACAUAAUAUACCACCAUCCAAACUUACACCAAUCUUCAAAACACCCCAAACAACAUCGAAUCAACCAAAACACAUCAGAUUCAAGCCUAAGUUUCCAAAAUCUUCCGAAUUACGCUUUUGAUCAAAAAGUAUACCAAACUAUGUCCGAAUGACCUGAAAUUUUGCACACACAUCCCAAAUGACCCAACGGAACUACUACAACUCCCAGGAUUCCGUUCUGACUCCUAUAUCAAAAUCUCACCUAUCAACCGGAAAACGCAAAAAAUCCAAUUUCGCCAAUUCAAGCCUAAAUCUACUCCGGACCUCCAAAACACACUUCGUUCACGCUCCUAAGUCCCAAAUCACCUCCUGAAGCUAUCUGAACCAUCCGAACUCACAUCCGAGCCCUCUAACACAUAAGUCAAUAUCCAGUUGACUUUUCCAACUUAAGCUUCCUUAAAAGAGACUAAGUGUCUCAAACCUCACCAAAACCUUUCCGAACCCGAGCCAACCAACCCGAUCACAUAUAGAACAAAACAAAGAAAUAAGAAGCAGAAAUGGGGUAAACGGAGCGGUAACUCAUGAGACGACUGGCUGGGUCAUCACAAUUAUCAUGUUUUGGGCUGAAUGCUAUAUUUGGGCCAUGUGCCAACUGUUUUGGACCCUUAGGGGUUUUUAAUACUAUUUCACAUUGUUUUGACUUCAUAAUUGUACUCAGUCAUGUUGUAUUCUACUAUUUUCAUAACUCAACCAUUUUUACUCUAUUUUGAUAUUUUAAAUGAUAUUUUGGGUUGAGCAUCAUGUUUUACUGUUGCCCGAGGGGCUUGAGAGAUAUCUGACUGAGUGAGGUCGAGGGCCUGUAUUGUGAGGAUAUCAUGGGAUCGGACUAUGCGCCGCAGCAUGUGUGCGGAUUGUGAUCUAUGAGAGGUCGAGGGCCUGAUUUGUUAUGUCACGAGAUGACUUGUGAUAGCGCUUGGGCUGUAGGAGCCCCUCCGGAAUCUGAACACCCCUAGUGAGCGCGGGUACCUAGUGUGAGAGAUGUGAUAUUGCCUGAGGGGAAGUAGUUGUUUCAUGUUGUUGCCCGAUGGGCUGAUUAUAAGUGAUUGUGGGGUAGCCCGAGGGGCUAGACUGUUGACACUUUUCUCGAGGGGCGGUUGUGGUGCAUGUUUUGCCCGAGGGGUUGUUUAUGUUUUCAUCACUUUUACUCACUAUUUUCAUCACUCGUUUGAAAUUAUUGAAUGAUAUUUUAAAAAGGUUUUACUGAACUGAGUUGUUUUUACGAGUUUUAUUGUUUUACUUUAUUGUUUUGGACAUAUACUGUUUUGCUGUAGUGCUAUGACGUAAAAUUACAUGUUUUCUUACUGCUCAACUGCUUUUACUUUGAUUACUUACUGAGUUGGCGUACUCACAUUACUCCCUGCACCUUGUGUGUAGAUCCAGGAGUCUCGGGGCGCGAUAGUGAGUGUUGAUCAGUCUUCCAGCAGGUCUCCGGAGUUUACUAGGUAGCUGCUUGGAGUUCACAGCCCAGUGAUUCUCCUUCCUAUCUUAUUCAGAUUGUUGUACUGUUUUAGUUUCGGAAAAUGUUGUCUUUUCUUGUUCUUAGAUGAGUUGUAGUUGCUCAUGACUGGUGACACCCCGAUGUUAGGCUUGUGUUAUAUUUUCGCACUGCUUAUUCUAAUUUAUGUUAUGGGAUUUUAGCAAAUUAAUGGCUU
This 4367-nucleotide long non-coding RNA is filed under the name Nicotiana tabacum (common tobacco). Its description in RNAcentral is "long non-coding RNA (NTAB_LNC010909)". The record is from RNAcentral. Lineage: Eukaryota; Viridiplantae; Streptophyta; Magnoliopsida; Solanales; Solanaceae.